CCGAGUUAUCAACUCCCAAACCCCUGUGAACAUACCUAUCGUUGCCUCGGGAUCGCCGGCGAUCCGGCCCGAACCAGGCGCCCGCCGGAGGACCCCAAACUCUUGUAUUUCUAUAUGAAUCUUCUGAGUGAAACAAGCAAAUAAAUUA
Molecule: unclassified non-coding RNA, 148 nt
Filed under: soil metagenome
Description: partial internal transcribed spacer 1
Source: RNAcentral